GACCAACCCUUAAAGACUGCUGCAUCUUUAGGAUAUUCUAGUCCAACAUCGAGGUCACAAACUCUCUUUUCGAUAAGGACUCUCAAAGAGAAUUAUGCUGUUAUCCCUAUGGUAACUAAUUCCAUUGAUCAAAAUUUCUGGAUCAACACUUGUAAGUCUUAUUGAUUAAUAAAGAAGCUUUAUUUGUUCCAUAGUCGCCCCAACCAAAAUCUAAAAUAGAUUAAUAUUUAAAAUUAUAUAUUAUUUUCAAUUUAUUUUUUUAAAGCUCAAUAGGGUCUUCUUGUCUUUCAAUUAAAUCUAGGUUUCCUCACCUAGAAAUCAAAUUCUAAAAAAUUACAUAGAGACAGCUUUGUUCACGUCAAACCAUUCAUACUAGCCCUCAAUUAUAGGGCAAAUGAUUAUGCUACCUUUGCACGGUCAGAGUACCGCGGCCGUUAAAAUAUAUUCACUGGGCAGGUCCGACUC
RNAcentral lists this ribosomal RNA (465 nucleotides) under Erronea cf. caurica sp. 1-CPM. Its description in RNAcentral is "partial 16S large subunit ribosomal RNA". Lineage: Eukaryota; Metazoa; Mollusca; Gastropoda; Littorinimorpha; Cypraeidae. The record is from RNAcentral.